This 688-nucleotide ribosomal RNA is filed under the name uncultured bacterium. RNAcentral's name for it is "bacterial SSU rRNA". It matches the Rfam family "Bacterial small subunit ribosomal RNA", at positions 140 to 826 of the family's 1533-position model. The record is from RNAcentral.
GGGACAACCCGCCGAAAGGCGGGCUAAACCCGCGUACAUGCCACCGGGGCAUCCCGGAGGCAGGAAAGGCUUCGGCCGGACAGGGAUGGGCAUGCGGCGCAUUAGGCAGUAGGCGGGGUAACGGCCCACCUAACCGACGAUGCGUAGGGGUUCUGAGAGGAAGGUCCCCCACACUGGUACUGAGACACGGACCAGACUCCUACGGGAGGCAGCAGUGAGGAAUAUUGGUCAAUGGUCGGGAGACUGAACCAGCCAAGCCGCGUGAGGGAUGAAGGUACAGAGUAUCGUAAACCUCUUUUGUCAGGGAACAAAGGCGGGGACGUGUCCCCGGAUGAGUGUACCUGAAGAAAAAGCAUCGGCUAACUCCGUGCCAGCAGCCGCGGUAAUACGGAGGAUGCGAGCGUUAUCCGGAUUUAUUGGGUUUAAAGGGUGCGCAGGCGGUCUGUUAAGUCAGCGGUCAAAGCCCGGGGCUCAACCCCGGCCCGCCGUUGAAACUGGCAGUCUCGAGUUGGAGAGAAGUAUGCGGAAUGCGCGGUGUAGCGGUGAAAUGCAUAGAUAUCGCGCAGAACUCCGAUUGCGAAGGCAGCAUGCCGGCUCCACACUGACGCUGAGGCACGAAAGCGUGGGUAUCGAACAGGAUUAGAUACCCUGGUAGUCCACGCAGUAAACGAUGAAUGAUGGCUGUCCG